CUUCAUCCAUGUGUGUUGGAGCCAACAAAAGGCUCCAGAGCUGCUCUUGUGCCUUGUCCCACAUAACGCUUUCAUUUUAAGACCAAGCCCCAGUAUUAAAAGUAAACAUCAACACUCUGAGUGAUUCUUGGCCAUAGCAAGGCUCCCCAGCAUCAUUGCAGGAAAGAAAUCUCAACAAGGGCCUCUCAGUUAACUACACAGCCUCCAUCCCAGCAGCCCUGUUCAAGCACAGCCCCUGCAGACGGGGGCACCACAGCUUUUCUCUGUGGCAGAGGAAAGCUAUGGAUUUAUUGUUUCACCAUCAGGAAAUCGCGCUAGUUUGUUGUUGUUGUUGUUGUGUUUUGUUUUGUUUUUGGAGACAGGGUCUUACUGUGUAGUCCUGGCUGUUCUGGAACUCACUCUGUAGACCAGCCUGGCCUCGAACUUACAAAGAUCUGCCGGCCUCUACCUCCCCAGUGCUAGGGAUCAAAGGCAUGUGACACCACCACCCGGCCUGCUCUAGUUGUGAAGGGGAGUAACUAACUAACCGUACAGAUAGCCCGACCACCAGUUCUACUUUCGAAGAGGUGAAAAAUAAUCCCAUUAAAAUACUGUGUUUCGCAUUCUCUGGAUAGCUGAGCUUCCUGACCGACAUUCCUCCCGGAGCUGGGGAGGAAGCUUGACUCAGCUCAGCUCUGCUUGGAGUCCUGAGGAACAGGCUAAAUGCAUGGUGGAUCAGGGCAGCAUUCCGGAGUCAGGGGCCACGGGGCAGGUUCCCCCCAGCUCGGGGUCACAGGACAGAAGGAGAGAGGAAAAGAGUGUGGAAAGUCGGACUGCAACUGACUGCAUGCUGACGUCAUUGUCCAGGCCAGCCGCAGCUGCUCCUUCCUGGAAAGAGGCUCGAAGGCCCCAGGACAAAAAGAUGUGAGGGGGAAUUACUUGAAGUGGGACACAAACAGAAACCAAAGGCAAAGCAAAAACUUUCACAUGCUGCUCAGGGCAAUCUGCUCGUGCAAAAUCGAAUCAGUGAAGCCAAUGCCAUGUCUUUGCUGCCCGCUACAACUUUAAAGUGUAUUUCACAGAGUUUUGUUUUUGGUUUUCCCCCUCAGCGAUGUCAUUUGGAGAAUGUUCAAAAAUGGCAAAGCAAAGAGAAGAGACACAUUAAAGAUUUCUGGAAAACGACUUUUAACACACUUUAGGCCCAUCGCUAGCUAUUGCAAAUGUAUUCAGCUCUUCCCUGAAAGGCAUUAGCAGUGAGGAAUAAAAUCAAGUCCUGCCAGGAAUCUCUCACGAUCCCUCCCACGCAUAGUUGAUUAAUGGACUCUAGUUAGGCUGGGUUUUAAUAUGCUUUGCUAUCCGGUGGCACAUGGUCGGGGAGCAGAGAGGCCGAGUCCUGGAAAAGGCACGUGUGCAGAGCACAUGACCUUGGGCGGAGUUCUGAGUGGGAUGAAUCCAGGGACUUUGAUGGUGGACACAAUGAAAGAGACAAUCAAUCUCUACAGAUCUGCUAUGGAAGAAAAACCACAGCCCAUCCGCAUACCCCAGAGGACCCAGGGAGGAGCAAAACAGAAACCGGAUCUCCAUAGGAAGCGGUGUUACCAGAACGCCUGGGGCCGCGGUAGAAUUCCUGACCUUGCCAUAUCUCUAGCACACUCUGGGUGCCAGUGGCUGGGAAGGGGGUGGAAAGAACUCAAGCGGAUGGCAGAACCACGUUUGAUGUACGGUAAGCAUUGACUCAGGGAAAGACAAAGCAUUCCAAGGCCAUUUCCCCCAGGAAGGAGGUUUUCUGGAACUAGGUUUAAGUUCCCAGCCUGAGUCUAUUCUAAGGUCUUUGCACACAUGGACUUGGGACUUCCGGAAUAUAGGUGCCCGACUCAUCCCAUCGUGUGCUCUUCUUAGCAUGGUACAAUGUUUAACACAAUGAAUGAAUGUAUGCAAGAAGCACAGAAUAAAUAAUUGAUUAGCUCUUUAGGGAAGAUAAUGGUUUCUAUGUAACUCUGAGUGCAGGAUGAAGGUUGAACAGAAGCGAAGGUGGUUUUGUGCCAUAAAAGGGAGCACAUUUGCCAGGAUGCCUCUGGAGGCCUCGUAAUUCCUGAGCUUGAUGUAGCCCUGGCAGGCUAUUGGUGGCUAACGGCCAGAGUGCUGUGACUUUUAUUUUUUUCCAAAGAGUGUCAUCUGGAGAUUGCCCCAAAUGGUAAAGCUAAGGGAGAAGACAUUUUUAACUUCUAGAAAACUUCAUUUAACCUGUUGCAAAGCCUAUUUCUGACUAAGUCCAAGGGUGUACAAAACUUUUCAUAAAGAAGUGUGACAGAUGACUAUAUAUGUCAGAGCAACACUACAAAAGCCAUUAGGUAGGAGAAUUUUCACCCAGCAUGGCCAAAAACAUAGGAAUGACCAGCUUGUCUCCUCAAUCCUGGGAAAAGCACCCUCAAAUAUCUCCAAAUUCCUCAAACAUCCCUCGGGUCACAUCUAAAUCUCUAGCCAAGACCACCUACAGAUACUUGUCUUCAGCCAAGGCCACCUACAGAGACCUUACACUUGUAGUGUUUUCAAUACCUAAUCCCUGAAGGAAAUGAGAGAGAGAGAGAGAGAGAGAGAGAGAGAGAGAGAGAGAGAGAGAGAGGAGACAUAAUCAUUGUUGGGAUCAGAUGAUGGGCUUCAAGUCUCUUCAGGCUGGUGUCCAAGGUAGUAUGACCCAGACUGACGCUCUGGGUAUGGAGUAUAAUGCUCUUAUGCUAAGGCAGGCUGUUUGGCAGGGACUGUGUUCCCCAGCCUUCCUUGCAUCUAAGUGAGAAGAUGGAUUGAUCUUCACCAAUGAGUGACACUAGAACCAACACGUUUCACUGAUUGCAAGCAUCUUCAUUGAGAAGGGCAUCUCAUCCAUGCUCUGCUCUGCCAUUCAGCAGUCGAGUGAGGAGGACUCUGCCGUCCUAGCAGAGGGGCGAAUUCCAGAUAGAGUGCCAGCAGAGAUGAUUUUUGAAGAUUCUCACUGCCAAAAAAGUUGUAAAUGGCUGAGGCGACAUUGUCUCCAGUUGCUCCUAGCUAAUCACUACUCAUUGUGUAUACAGACUGCAAUGCCCCACAAACCCCAGAAAUAAGUACCAGUUACAGUGUGUCAGCGAAAAGAAGAAGUGUUUUCUUUAAAGAGGCAGAGAAAACACUGGUUCAUGGGAGAUUGCCUGGGAACGCCUCUGUUUAACUGUGGCACUGUUAUAGUGUGACUUUGAUGUCCCCAAGGUUCUCUGCUGCUGACAGUAUUAUGGGAUGUAAUGGGAAUGUUAGGAGGUGGGGCCUCACCAAAGGAAGUAGGUCACUGGGGGGUGUGCCUUUGAAGAUUACAGCUGAGCCCAGGCUUUUUCUUCUGUGCUGGUUAGCUUUUUGUCACAAGCUCAGGUCAUCUGGGAAGAGGGACCCUAACUGAGACAGUGUCUCCAUAGGAUUAGCCUUUAGGCAAGUCUUUGGGGGCGUUUUAUUGGUUAGGGGUUGAUGCAGGAGUACCCACUCACUGUAGAUGGUACUAACUUGGGCAGAUGGUCCUGGCUUAUAUGAGAAAAACCCAAAAUUUUCCUCCAAUUUCAACUUAGCACUUGACAUUUUCAACUUAGCACAGGCUUAUUGGGAGGUAAUCCCACAAAUUGGGGAGUAUUUGUCUAUCAAAAUCAUAGAUCAAGAGUUCUCAUGGCUAAAACAACAAACUACAGGUGUAAAGAUAUGGGCAAAGGACAUGGACAAAAAUCCAGAGGAAAGUAGAACCAGGCCGCUAAGCUGUGGCUCCAUUGGCAGAAUGCUUGCCUCCAUGUAUACAGUUCUGGGUUUGAUCCUCAGACUAGGAGGAAAAAAAGUCCAAUAACAACAAGAAUACAUAAGAAGAUGGCCAACCUUGCUCGUAACUAAAGAAAUUAAAAUUUGUCUUUUAAGUAAUUUAUUUUUUAAGUUUUCAGCCAAGUAUUUAUUGUAUAUUGAAAGUACUCCCCUCUGUGGGGUUUGAAGGAGAUGUCCUCCAGAGUCUCUGGCAUUUGAACACUUGGUCCUCAGUUGGUGAUGCUGUUUGGGGAAGCUUGAGAGGCAUAGCUGGAGAAAGUACAGCGAUGGUGGUGGGUUUCGAGAGGCAAAGCCUCAUGCCAUCCCAGCUUGCUGUCUCUGUGCUUUGUGUUUGUGGUUCAAGAUGUGAGGUCCCGGUUUCCUGCUCCUGCUCCUGCCCCACACCUCAUUUCACUCCUGUGGACUCUUACUCUUCAGGAACAGUGACACUAGCUGAUGUCAAGUUGACAAGACAACAACAAACCUAACGAGCAUAGCACAGAUGGAUGCAAAUGGAAGCUGGAAGGUCAUUAGGAGAAGUUCCUGCCCCCCAUGACCUACUGCUAGAAGAGCUGCUUCCGGUCUAUAAAGCAAGCAGCAGGUGCCCAGGACUUACUGCUGAGCCCCUUGCAGGCUAAGCUAGACAAAGGGUCCUGAUUUCCCAGGAAGUGUCUGUUGGAGUGGGUACAGUACGGCUGUGGAAACACAAAGGAGCUGCCUCUCUCCAUCCCGAAGCGGUAAUAAGUUCUCUACCCACGAAGGGACACACUUGCUCGGGAUAGAGCAGGAAAGAUCCCGUCAUCAACAAGGCAAAGCACAAGGUGCUUGGGCUUCACUUCUAGACUUAAUCUCCCUCCCAUGCAGAUGUGCUGAACCUUCCAGAAACUGGUCUUUGUCGCCCCAAGCAAACAGCCACAUAGAAAAUCUGUGAGUCAGUCAGCCUGUUCCUGUUGGUCCACCCAGGCUGGAACACACUAAAAGCCCAAACAAAACAAGUGUGGCUCUUACAAGCAGGAGGACGAUAAGGGAUCCGGUUAGAGGCUUUGCCCAGUGACCCACUGGCUGUUCAUUCUGUGAAUUCUGCCCAGGAAUUUACAAGGAAUCCAAGGUCUGUGAUUGGGAAACUGGGAAGAGAGCCAUCAGGCCGAGUUGGCAGUGAAAAGCUGGGUGAAACAGCGGAUAUCUGGUAAGAACUGGGCUGAGUUUUAUCCACACUUACUCCCUCCCCUCAGAAGUGCAAAGGAAGACUACACCGCCUUAUCCCGUUGCAAAAAUGAAAAAUCAUUUCUUAUAUGGAACUGAACACUGAGUCCUAGAGACAGGGAGGUAGACCCACUGCCAGAAAUGACAUCAUUAGGUAGAACAAGCCAAGGCCUUGUGACUCCAACAAUGGCUCCCCCGUCCAAUGUCACCACAUCAACACAGCCUCCGGAAGAUCUUGGCCCCUGCAGGUCUGGUGCCUGUCUGUUCCCACAAUGCUUUUCUGCAGACAUUUACCACUCUCUCCGGUCAAAGGCAUCUAAGCACUUGUCAAGGUGUCCUGAGAUGGAUUCUCUCUGCAGUUACUUGCUCACUUUUCCUGAAGGGGAAAGUGACCUCCUCAUGGCCUCGCUUGUGGAUCCCUAGCCCCUUGUGGGGUGGUUCUGAGUAUCUGAAGCAGCCGCUUUGGAGAUGGGUGGUCCUGAGUUCAAGACAUACUUUUUAAUCUGUGUAAUCUUAGACAAAUUAUUUAAUAUCUCUUUGCCACAGAUUCCCCCAAGUUUUAAAUGAGAACAGAAACCAUUUCCCAGCACAGUCAGGAAGAUUAAUGGAUCAUUAGUAUCCAGCAAGGGGCCUGAAUGUGGUAACAGCAGAAUAAAGCUGUGACUGUCUCGGGAACCCCAUUACUCACCUGCCCUGGAUUGUGGCAGGGAAGAAUAGUUUCAUAGAUGGAGAAGACCCCUGUCCCCCCAAAGAAAGUGUGACUCACAGAGCAGCUUUCUGCCUUGCUGCAAACCACCCACCCACAGUCCCCUCUCCUUGAUGUCACCACUAUUAGACUGUUCUCCCAUUACACUAGAAGAGAGGGUUGAGGGCCAGCCUCUGCCCAGAAUGGGGACAUCCCAAGGCAAACCAGAAAGCAAAGGAAGCUGAAGGAGGCAGCUUAGAUGUGCCCUCUCUCGGGAGAAGCAGCCAUAAAAGAGCUCUGGCUGCUGCUUCCCUCUUGAUAAAUGCCCUCUGCUUCUCCAGCCAGAGCGACUGCCAGGAGUCAGCCUUGGUUGAAGUUGUAUGUUUUCCCCUGAGCAGUGACCUCAGUGCAGUCUUUCUAGGGAUUCAUAAUCCCUGGGAAUGCUGACAGCCCCAAAGUCACUGCCUCCUCCCAACUCUGCUCUUCUGGUGACAAGGAGGCCUCCAGCUCCUCAGUGGGAUAGACUCCAGGACUGCAGGGAUGGCUUCUCUGUCACUGUAACUCACAGCUUCCUGAAUGCUGAUGGACCUACCAGGCCACUGGGCACCCAGGGCUAAGCCUUUGCUGCUCACCUUCAGGUUCAUUGGUUCUCAGAACAGGGAAAGGAAGGGCUGAUGGGGACCCACCUGUGUGACACUCUGAGGUGAGUUCAGGGGGACUAAGCCGACUGGUACACAUGUAACCACAAGCCAGGCUUUGCGAGUGAAGGAUGCUCCCCAGCUAUGUGAUUGUGUCAUUUUUAUCUCUGGUCCUAUGGAGAACUGGGACUUGGUAGGUGCUGGGAGGGAGCAGAAACUUCAGGGCGCACAUGAGCAUAGUCUAGAAUUCUCUAGGAAGGAGGAAGAGGACAGAAUGGCUAGCUAGCACAAGUGCCUGAGGGACAGUGAAAUUGGUGGUGAUCAUUACUGCAACUUUGAGCUAAACUUGGGGUUGUCUGGGAGGUAAUCAGAGAAAUAGGAGGCUUGGGGUUACCUUGCACUAGUUGCAAGCAGGCCAUCCAUUGGGCUCUCGUGAAUUCAAGCCCCUCAGCCUUGUCUUAGCUGGGAAGCCUGGUUAUUGGCUACCAGUCCAGUGACAUGGGAAGAGCACAUUGAUAUUUUGAGGGACAGACCUGCAUCCUGUUACUUGCCUUCCAAUAUGAGGAGCCCUGACCCACCCUACCCCCCAAUCUGACCCAGCUAUCAGGUUUUAGGUUUUAGGACAACUGUUCCUAGUGCUAACCCCAGAAGAAGAGCCAGCUCCAAUCUGCCCCCCUUCCUUACACACUCAGGAUAUAUAUAUAUAUAUAUAUAUAUAUAUAUUUAUAUAUAUAUAUAUAUAUGGUGUGCUUAUUUGAGGCUCCCUGAUGCCCUAAAGCACACCUUUUUAGGCGACAGUCAUCUUGUCAAAUACAAAGCCUAAACACUCAUGAUCUGGAUGGUUCUGACUUGAAUGGGAGCCUUAGUGUCUCCCUGUGUCCUGGGACGCUGAGCUCUGUCUCUGACCCUGUAGCCUUGAGGUGAGGAUUUUGCCUGUUAGGGUCUGAGGACUUCUCAAAGCUGAAGUUGAUCUUCUAUGUGGGUCACCAGAGUAGAUGGCAUCCUCUAGUCACUCUUUGCAAGGACAAUGUCUAGCAAGUGCUCUCUGCUCUGGCCCUGCCCUCAGUUCCUUCUUGUAAUGCCCUGGCAAUUAUUAUUGUGAGCCACAGAUGACACCUGUGGUGGCUCAGAGGGGCUGAGUCUGCACAUGUCUCUUGAGGGCUGUGUGUGGCUUGUGAUGGAGGCAGCUAGUGAGAAGUUCCCUGUGCCCUGUGACUAAGCUCAGAAAGGCAAUGAAGGCUUAGCUGGCUGCUUGUGUCCUGACUGGAGACCGAGGGUUCAGUGCAAUGUAACUCAGCUUAGGGGUUUCUUGAGUCCCUACAAGAACAGUCCGUAGGCUGAGUGUAGAUAAAACCAGAAGCAAAUGGCCUCAAAGAGAUCACAGUGAACGCUUCAGGUAGAAGACAGCAACAGAGGAGAUGUUGACAAGAGGCUUUCCCAUGAACCCCGCCCUCUGCGAAAUAUCUUUCCUUCACCUCUUCCCCAGAUUAACUUUCCUGGAUCCUCCCUAGGCUCUCACCUCAGUGACAUUUCCUUGAAGGAGGUUUCCCUGCUUGGAGUGGCUCGGGUAAUUCCCUGGUUAUACUCUCUGUCUGGGCUACGGGUUCCACUCCUCAGCAGCUCAUGUCCCUGAUAAAAUGUGCAGUUCUCUGUGUGGUUACUUGAUUACUUUAUGUCCCCUGGCUAGGCUGAUUAGAAGCUCCAUCAUGUUGAGUACCAGGUAUAGGAAGAACACUAUGAAGACCCACUGGGAAAACACAUGGCUCUCCGAGGAAGCAGUCUGUGUCUAGGUGUCUUAGUAAGUGGCCUUGGGAGUGAGAGCUGUGAGAAGAAGGAGAAAGUCAGAAUGGACACAGAAAAGUGGAGAGAAACUCAAUAGUAACAUUAGCUAAAAAUCCCACAGGAGCCAUAGCUGUCCUGACUGGAUCAAAAUAGCUGGGCUUUGCUAAGUCAUUGAGUGUGGGCCACAUCAGAAAGGAUUUCAUCUUGGAUGAAGUGACUCUUUGCCUCUGAGAGAGCUGAAAGGUAAAGACCACUGGCAGGCAGCCCUCCCAGUAACAGAAGCAACAACACCUCCAUUACAGCAAGAAUUGAGCAACUUACCCCCAUGUCCAUAAUAUGAGCAGCAUGGAGAAAGCAAGGUGAUAUGGGGGAUGCCCCUGCACACUGGUAUGUGCAUCCCCGACUCUCCCUGGGCUGAGUGGACUGAGCUUUAAGAGCACUCACUAGAGCCAGAAGAGAGGCUCUUACCAACAGACAAGCCCUGGCAGCAGCAAGCAUGCUCUAAAAUCUUAGGAGUUUCCUGCUGAUCUUUCUUCCUUACCUGCUAACCAAAUGCCCAAAUCACCAGGGAGUCCAGUGCUUUAUCCAAUUCUGCAUGCACCCAAUGGAAGGAGCCUGGGACCUUGAGUGACAGUGUGGAACAUGGUUCUUGCUUCUUCCGUCUUCACCCCUAAGCCAAUCAAUAGCACACCAUGACAUGAAGAAACAGACAUUUAAUUUUGUAUUCACUGAGCUUUGACAGCUAUUUGUUUCAGCAUUUCCCCUCCUUGAGUAAUACAAGAAUUUUGUUUUUCUUGGAGUGGAAAACUUCCUUUAAAACAGUGGUUUUCAACCUUCCUAAGGCCGUGACCCUUUAAUAUACAGUUCCUCAUGUUGUGGUGACCCCCACCACCACCAUAAAAUUAUUUUCUUAUUGCUUUAUAAGUGUAAUUUUGCCACUUUUAUAAAUAUCUGAUAUGUGACUCCUGUGAAAGGGUCUUUCAACACCCCCAGCAAGGGUCAAGACUCACAGGUUGAGAGCUUGUGAUGUAAAACAAUGACCAUAUGAAGCUGGCUAGAGAGGAGAGAUGGCAAACUAUGAAAUCGGGCAUCUGUGCUUGGAUAUUGGAUCCCAGGGCUGCCUGUCAUAACCUGGAAGUCAUCCAUGCCCAGGGGAAGAGCAUGGAAACAGAAAACAGAAUAUUGGCCCCAGUGCUGCCUGUGGACUGCAUCCAGCAAGACACCAAAAGAUAAAGGUAAAUGCAAUGAAGAACUAAUUGGAAGAACUAGUCUGUGAGAAGGAAAUGGAAUAGAAUCAGAAACAAAGGACCUCUCUUAGGACCCACUUCUCUCUUUGGGCUGCCUUUACCUCUCCAUACAAAAUGAAAUACUGUGUUAGUGAGGGGCCACUAACUAUUGUAAUAAUCUCCAAAUUGCAGAGACUCAUAACAAUAAAGAUUUCUUUCUCAGACACACAUUUUUUUGAGAGAGAGAGAGAGAGAGAGAGAGAGAGAGAGAGAGUGAGAGAAUGUGAUUGGGCUUCAUUGCACAUAAUCUGUCUUUCUUCUCAGCUAAGCACAGUCCUGAGGCAAAGAAAAAUCAUUUCAGGGACUACACCUUUCUACUAAGCCAGAGAAAGAGAACUCCAUGGUAGCCACCGUUAAGUUGAGAAAGAACAGCACUAGCAAGCCAAGCCAGCUUAGACGGGGUAGAGAAUUACAACUCAGAAGAAAAUUCUAUGUGCACUUACUACGUGGAAUUGGCUAGAAGGAAAUCUCCUAGAAGCCCAAGUUUUUGAAGGAGUUGUGUUGCCAAAGAAGCCAGGAGACUGUGUUUAAAGCUGUGGAUCAUCCAAUAUAUCCAAGGUUCCUAGCUUUGCCUGGAUGCAGGGGCUUGGGGGCUAUGCUUGUCCUCACUGGGGAUGGGAAGGGAAAAAGGAAGGGAGCAAGAGGAUGGACUGUGACCCAGACAGCUAAUGUCACCUAUUUUUCCCACUGCAAAUAUUGUACUAGUUAGCGCAGGUUGCUGAAAUGAAACAUUACAGCCUAAGUGUGUUAAACCAUAGACAUUGUCUUCUUAGUUUGGGAGGCCAGAAGUCAAAGGUGUAAGGGAUCACAAAGUGUGGUUUGUUCUAAUGUAUGGGCCUGUAGAUUGCCACUGGGAAAAUCGGAUGUGCCCUGAUCUUGAUUCUUCCACAGUAUGUAGAGCAGUGCCCUUCAGGCUGUGCCUUGCCCUGGGGUGACUCCAUUUUACAAGGGGCAGUUGAGUCCUUUUUGAGCAUAAAUGCAGAGGCAGGGUGACUGUGUGUCAUUAUGCAUGUAGUUGCCACCAGCUGUCCAGCAC
This 10410-nucleotide long non-coding RNA is filed under the name Cricetulus griseus (Chinese hamster). RNAcentral describes it as "lncRNA (ENSCGRG00015038037.1)". Lineage: Eukaryota; Metazoa; Chordata; Mammalia; Rodentia; Cricetidae. The record is from RNAcentral.